This is a non-coding RNA of Paramuricea clavata, 336 nucleotides long. NCBI's taxonomy places the organism in Eukaryota, Metazoa, Cnidaria, Anthozoa, Malacalcyonacea, Plexauridae. The record is from the annotation of a GenBank genome assembly.
GGGGGGGGGACUACGUAUCUCUCAUUCUUGAUCUUUUUCUAGGACCUACCCCACUCCCCUUAUCCUCGUUCACGAUCGGCUGUAUUUGCCCUCUCAAUCUCGAAGCAUUUGUGCACGAGCUCCGGGAGUAUCCUAGUCCCCGCAAGGAGUAUGUGCUGGCGGGCAUUCGCGACGGUUUCCGUCUGGGUUUCGUUCCAGAGCGUGUGGUCCUUCGUCCGUCGCUCCGCAAUCUCAAGUCGGCGUCUCAAGACCCGGACGUGAUCGACAAAUAUCUCUCGGCGGAAGUCGCCCACCGCCGGGUGGCUGGUCCUUACCUGUACCCCCCACUACCCUCUC